Long non-coding RNA from Equus quagga, 1039 nucleotides. RefSeq lists it as uncharacterized. NCBI's taxonomy places the organism in Eukaryota, Metazoa, Chordata, Mammalia, Perissodactyla, Equidae. The transcript is spliced from 4 exons. The record is from RefSeq and is a predicted model, not a curated record.
CAUGCCCUGGGAGUAGCCGAUGGCCGGGUUGUACACGGCGUAGUUCAGCAGGAUCCUCCUGGCGACACGGUGCAGAGAGCAGGGCGGUUGGCGGAGAGUGGCCACAACAUAGCCCACCCUUGCUGUCUGCUUGGUGGCAUGUCACCCGGGCCAGCACCAGCAGAACCCCAGGCUGGAGACCCUGGGCUGCCAGGAUGCCCCUCCUUCGCCUCGAUCUCAGGGGAAGGAGGGCAGCUCUGGGGACUGUCUCUGAAGCCUUGGGAAAUUGAGUGGCCUGCAAUUAACCAGUCACCAUGCCCAGACCUCUGGAGCAGAGGGGAAGGAGGAAUGCAGCAGCAGAAUGUCAAAGAUGCCAACCCCAGGCUCAGUGUGGCUUUAUCACUGGGAGGACCACCCACUGGGAGACAGAGGCUCAUCCAUGGUUGCUGUGAGCCAAGCAAGGCCAGUCUUGGUGGAGGCCCGGAGGAUGGGGGCCUUUGCUGGCAGCCUUGGGCGGGACCUACAGGGCUUCCCUGGGACGCUGGGGCCAUAAGAGGCCAAUCGACAUUGCUGAAGUAGCUAACGAUCCUCUACUUCCGGGCAUUGUGAAGGAAGGAAGAAAGACACCUGACCCCUAACCCCCGCAGAUGCUGCUGCUGCUUGCCCACUUCCCAGAGGGUCAGCUGAGGCCCGAGGGAACUGGUUGCUCCGAUCUGUGCGAACCACAUCCUUGUCCACGGUGAACUGCACAUUGCGCCAGAAGGCUCUGUGCUCUUCGGGAGUCAUGGAGAGCCUGGCCCGGAGCAGAGCACCCGCUGGGGUCAGCGAGCUGUGCACACUGCAGCAGAGCCCCUGCUCCCCAGAAGGGGCCUGGGGUGCUGCUGCCGCUGCAAACCCUCCAGCUCCCCGCUGACUUGGAGGACAUUUCCCUCCGCGGUUCGGGGGCGGGCUGGCCGGGCGGCGGUCACCUUUUCUGCUGGAUCUCCGCGUACUCCUUCCGCUUCUGCACCCGCAUGGCCUCCCUCUCCUCCGACGUGGACUCGUGGCUGUAAUAACGCAG